AAACACGGACCAAGGAGUCUAACAUGUGCGCGAGUCAUUGGGUUGUUAAACCCAGAGGCGCAAUGAAAGUGAAGGCCUCGCCUCGCGCGGGCCGAGGGAAGACGGAGCUCCGGUGCCAAGCCGGGGCCCCUGCAUUCCCGGGGCGUCUUGUCCACUCCGUGGAGAGGCGCACCCAGAGCGUACACGUUGGGACCCGAAAGAUGGUGAACUAUGCCUGGUCAGGACGAAGACAGGGGAAACCCUGUUGGAGGUCCGUAGCGAUUCUGACGUGCAAAUCGAUCGUCGGAACUGGGUAUAGGGGCGAAAGACUAAUCGAACCAUCUAGUAGCUGGUU
RNAcentral lists this ribosomal RNA (334 nucleotides) under Hypocophus sp. MCJ-2002. Its description in RNAcentral is "eukaryotic LSU rRNA". It matches the Rfam family "Eukaryotic large subunit ribosomal RNA", at positions 657 to 956 of the family's 3401-position model. The record is from RNAcentral. Lineage: Eukaryota; Metazoa; Arthropoda; Insecta; Orthoptera; Anostostomatidae.